UUUUUAGGAUCUUGAUGAUGCAUUUUUCAUUAUCGGUGGAGUGAACGCCCUCAGAUCAAAGACCUCAUUGUAUUUCCCUCUUCCCACCUUCCUCACAACCUCGUAGUCAUCUUGCUCCCUGCAACUCAUGA
Non-coding RNA from Arachis ipaensis, 131 nucleotides. NCBI's taxonomy places the organism in Eukaryota, Viridiplantae, Streptophyta, Magnoliopsida, Fabales, Fabaceae. The record is from RefSeq and is a predicted model, not a curated record.